CGCAUCUGUGCAUGCAGCAUAUCAAUAAGCGGAGGAAAAGAAACUAGCAAGGAUUCCCCUAGUAACGGCGAGUGAAGCGGGAAGAGCUCAAAUUUGAAAUCUUAAAGGGUUUCCCUUUACGAAUUGUAGUUUAAAGAAGUGUUUUCUGUUGAGGUUUUGGUAAAAGUUCUUUGGAAUAGGACAUCAUAGAGGGUGAGAAUCCCGUAUUCGACCUUUACUUUCAACUUUGUGAUACACUUUCAAAGAGUCGGAUUGUUUGGGAAUGCAGUCCAAAAUGGGUGGUAAAUUUCAUCUAAAGCUAAAUAUUGGCGAGAGACCGAUAGCGAACAAGUACCGUGAGGGAAAGAUGAAAAGAACUUUGAAAAGAGAGUUAAACAGUACGUGAAAUUGUCAAAAGGGAAGCGUUUGACACCAGUGUUGUUUUUCUGAAAAUCAAUUAAAGAACUGUUUAUGCUAAGCUGUUUAGACUUUAUCAGCUAUCUGUUUAGUUUUGAGCUUUUCUUUAAUGCACUUUUCAGUUAACAAGUCAACAUCAAUUUCUUUUGCUGUAAAAAAGCUUGAGGAAGGUGGCUUGAGAUUCGUCUUAAGUGUUUAUAGCCUCUUGCCUAUGCAGUCGGAGAGAUUGAGGUCUGCAGCGUAGAUCCUUCGGGGCUAAAUGCAUUUGUGCUAAGUUAUAGCAUUUUAUAGACAACUUGUUGAUUAUGAUUUGUCUUGUAGCUUACUCGCUUAUGUUAUUUUACCUACGCUUAGGAUGUUGAGUCGUAGAGCACGCAG
RNAcentral lists this ribosomal RNA (774 nucleotides) under uncultured Neocallimastigales. RNAcentral's name for it is "partial large subunit ribosomal RNA". It matches the Rfam family "Eukaryotic large subunit ribosomal RNA", at positions 26 to 628 of the family's 3401-position model. The record is from RNAcentral. Lineage: Eukaryota; Fungi; Neocallimastigomycota; Neocallimastigomycetes; Neocallimastigales.